Phyllopteryx taeniolatus (common seadragon) is the source of this 407-nucleotide long non-coding RNA. RefSeq lists it as uncharacterized. The record is from RefSeq and is a predicted model, not a curated record. Lineage: Eukaryota; Metazoa; Chordata; Actinopteri; Syngnathiformes; Syngnathidae. The transcript is spliced from 3 exons.
CAAACAUUAACACCUUACUAAAACGACCCUAUUAACUGGCAACAACUUGCUAGCUUAAUUUAGUCCUUUAAUGUUGAAGGGUUCGGUUUUCGGCGUUGAGAGAACUCGCAUUCACUACACGCGAUUGGAUCGUACAAUCACCGAAUUUGAUUCAAAUUGGUAAUAAUUCCUCAGCGUACCGGGGCGACGCAAAGACACGAUCGAAAAUAAACUUCAACCCACAAUGAGACCACAACAUGGACCAAGCAACAGCAUACACACAGGACAUCCCAGUUCACAGAAUUACAAUCAACAUAAACUCAACUGGCAGACAAAAUGACUUCAAGUGCAAAAUGGGUUGCUACAAAAGUGACAUUCCAUCAGUACUUUCUCACCAGAGUGUCCUAGUUCCCCAACACCUGAUGCGG